This 913-nucleotide ribosomal RNA is filed under the name uncultured marine archaeon. RNAcentral describes it as "bacterial SSU rRNA". It matches the Rfam family "Archaeal small subunit ribosomal RNA", at positions 1 to 921 of the family's 1478-position model. The record is from RNAcentral.
UUCCGGUUGAUCCUGCCGGACCUGACUGCUAUCGGAUUGAUACUAAGCCAUGCGAGUCUUUGCAGUAAUGCAAGGCAUACGGCUCAGUAACACGUAGUCAACUUACCCUAUGGACGAGGAUAAUCUCGGGAAACUGAGCAUAAUACUCGAUAGAUCAUAAUGCCUGGAAUGGUUUAUGGUUGAAAUGAUUCGUCGCCAUAGGAUGGGACUGCGGCCUAUCAGCUUGUUGGUGAGGUAAUGGCCCACCAAGGCGAUUACAGGUACGGGCUCUGAGAGGAGAAGCCCGGAGAUGGGUACUGAGACAAGGACCCAGGCCCUAUGGGGCGCAGCAGGCGAGAAAACUUUGCAAUGUGCGAAAGCACGACAAGGUUAAUCCGAGUGAUUUCUGCUAAAGAAAUCUUUUGCAAGUCAUAAAACCACUAGUGAAUAAGGGGUGGGCAAGUUCUGGUGUCAGCCGCCGCGGUAAAACCAGCACCUCAAGUGGUCAGGAGGAUUAUUGGGCCUAAAGCAUCCGUAGCCGGCUCUGUAAGUUUUCGGUUAAAUCCAUGUGCUCAACAUAUGGGCUGCCGAAAAUACUGCAUAGCUAGGGAGUGGGAGAGGUAGACGGUACUCGGUAGGAAGGGGUAAAAUCCUUUGAUCUAUCGAUGACCACCUGUGGCGAAGGCGGUCUACCAGAACACGUUCGACGGUGAGGGAUGAAAGCUGGGGGAGCAAACCGGAUUAGAUACCCGGGUAGUCCCAGCUGUAAACGAUGCAGACUCGAUGAUGCAUUGGCAUAUAGCCAGUGCAGUGUCGCAGGGAAGCCGUUAAGUCUGCCGCCUGGGAAGUACGUACGCAAGUAUGAAACUUAAAGGAAUUGGCGGGGGAGCACCACAAGGGGUGAAGCCUGCGGUUCAAUUGGAGUCAACGCCGG